Molecule: transfer RNA, 85 nt
Filed under: Jiella flava
Lineage: Bacteria; Pseudomonadati; Pseudomonadota; Alphaproteobacteria; Hyphomicrobiales; Aurantimonadaceae
Description: Jiella sp. CQZ9-1 tRNA-Leu
Rfam family: tRNA
About the family: Transfer RNA (tRNA) molecules are approximately 80 nucleotides in length.
Source: RNAcentral
GCGGGCGUGGCGGAAUGGUAGACGCAAGGGACUUAAAAUCCCUGGGCUUUAGGCCAUGCGGGUUCGAGUCCCGCCGCCCGUACCA